UCACCAGAGGGGACUGAAUAUAAGUAAAACAGAAACAUGAUUGAUCUAAUCAAAGAAAAGGAACACAGAAAUAAUAAAACCCAAAACCAACUCAAACAACUCAAGGUCUUGACAGAUGUAUGAAUUAUUAUCAGUUAAACGUUAUUUAAUAAUUCUGCACUGUCCCACCUACAGCAGGCAUCUGAACAGGAUUCACACUCUGUGGGAAGUUAGCAGGAGGAGGAGGAGAUUUGGGCAUGUUGCAUAAAAGGACUGCACAAGAGAAGGUUACAGCGCCAACAACUGACGUCUCACAUCUGUCAUAGGAGGGCAGUAGACUCUACCUGAGUUCCCGUCCCAGCCUGGGAUCAUUUUGCCUGAGGUUUACAUGUGGAUGUGUGGGUUCCCUCUGGGUACUCUGGCUUCCACAGUGUAUCAUAAUCUAAGCAAUAUUUUCUUCUUCUCUAAAAACUGUCCUUGAUUGUUUUGUAUUUCCUUUUCAGAAAUCUAAUUGCCAUGUUAUCCUAUAUGUUCAUAUUUGAUUGCUUCAUCCCAAACUCGCCAAACCAUCCCCACCACCUCCUGAUCCUGUGCAGAUGUUUAGAACAGAACAGAACAGUGAGAGGAAGUAAUGAUGCUGAUCUCCGAUCUGCAUGCUGGUUUGACUAAUAGUAGGAUUAUGUUUGAGUCUGCUAAAGCCAGAACUACCAGGAUUGAUUCUCUUGUUUUUCUUGGGUAUCUCCUGGGUUUCGUUAUGCGAGUGGCGUUAACGGACAUGCAAAUGUAAACACCGUCCAGGGAGACAAUGUGGAGGAGGACAGAUGUGUUUCUAGGAAGAAAAAAAACACCUCAUCCUCGGAGUGCUCAAAUCAUUUCCGUACAUCAAAACCAAAGUGACAAGAACAGCUCCAAUUUAUUGACGUGGAAGAUUUUUUACUCAUGAAUAAACCUGGUGAUUUGCAAGGUGCCGAACGUUAAUCUGCUUUGCAUACAUAAAUUGUUAAGCAGCAUCCGUUACUUAUGGGAAUCUUGAAAUUCAAGUCAGGAAAUCAGCAAAUUGCCCACU
Long non-coding RNA from Gambusia affinis (western mosquitofish), 1045 nucleotides. RefSeq lists it as uncharacterized. The transcript has 4 exons. The record is from RefSeq and is a predicted model, not a curated record. Lineage: Eukaryota; Metazoa; Chordata; Actinopteri; Cyprinodontiformes; Poeciliidae.